Molecule: long non-coding RNA, 687 nt
Filed under: Citrus sinensis (sweet orange)
Lineage: Eukaryota; Viridiplantae; Streptophyta; Magnoliopsida; Sapindales; Rutaceae
Description: long non-coding RNA (CSIN_LNC004894)
Source: RNAcentral
CUUACUUUGCCAUGCCUAAUUAAAUUCCAAAAUAAAAACAACCAAUGCCAUUAUGAAAAAAAAAUACAUAUGUAUUGCAGAAAGCAUACUUAAUUAAAUUAACAAUAUCUCCCUUGUCCUAUUCAUCACCAAAUCGCAAACAUAACCUUAAGGUCAUUACCCUAUGCGGUUGAUGAUAGUGAACGGAGGAGAAGGCAGCGAGACAGCGACGACAGCAGCUAGAUUGAAACUGACAGCGAUGCACUUGAAUGGAACUAACAAUAGCUCAAGGAAUAGCUAGAAGCUGCAACGCUGGUGCACGUGAACGGAACUGACAGUGGCGGCAUUAUAUGGCUGUGUGUGAGUGAGACUGAGUAUGUCUAUGCUCUGUAGUGUGCUGGGCUUGCUGGCUUAAGGUUGUGCAUGGCUGAUGCAGGCAGUGUGGACUAGAAGAGGAAUUUCGGAUUUAGAGAUUUUGUUUUGAAUAUUUUGAUUUUGCCGUUCUGUCCUCUCUCUCUCUCUCUCUCUCUCUUUCUCUACAUAUCGGGUUUUAAUUUCAGCUCGGAUUGAGGUUGUAUCGUGUGGCUCUGUGUGAGUGAGACUGAGUGUGUCUGUGCUCUAUAGUGUUCUGGGCUUGCCGGCUUAGGGUUUUGCAUGGUUGCUGUAGGCAGUGUGGAGUAGAAGAGGAAUUUAGGAUUUAGGGAUUUU